GUGGGGAAUAUUGGACAAUGGGCGAAAGCCUGAUCCAGCCAUGCCGCGUGUGUGAAGAAGGUCUUCGGAUUGUAAAGCACUUUAAGUUGGGAGGAAGGGUAGUAACCUAAUACGUUGCUACUUUGACGUUACCGACAGAAUAAGCACCGGCUAACUUCGUGCCAGCAGCCGUGGUAAUACGAAGGGUGCAAGCGUUAAUCGGAAUUACUGGGCGUAAAGCGCGCGUAGGUGGUUCAGUAAGUUGGAAGUGAAAUCCCCGGGCUCAACCUGGGAACUGCUUUCAAAACUGCUGAGCUAGAGUACGGUAGAGGGUGGUGGAAUUUCCUGUGUAGCGGUGAAAUGCGUAGAUAUAGGAAGGAACACCAGUGGCGAAGGCGACCACCUGGACUGAUACUGACACUGAGGUGCGAAAGCGUGGGGAGCAAACAGGAUUAGAAACCCGGGUAGUCC
This 450-nucleotide ribosomal RNA is filed under the name uncultured bacterium. RNAcentral's name for it is "partial 16S ribosomal RNA". It matches the Rfam family "Bacterial small subunit ribosomal RNA", at positions 354 to 796 of the family's 1533-position model. The record is from RNAcentral.